AGCAAUAAUAAUAAUAAUGAAAUGACCGUCAAUCGUCACCAAGUCUCCUCCUCGACGAGCAACUUCAACGCGGACGAUCCUUGGGAACAGGAUUUCCUCUGGAGGGAGAGCCUUCGAAGAGUGAGUUUGCGAAACGCCAGAUCGUUGGACAAUCUGGACAACCAAGCUCCCAGACAGCAGCCAACCGUGACGCCAAAUUCGGACUCGAAAGGAGGAGGAGCGAGGAACAAGAUCACUCGUGGCGCCACCUACGUGAACGACAGCGUGAUUCUCUCGAGAGGAAGGGAUAACUUCUGCCCUCUGGAGGACAGGCCUCGAGUGAUGAAACGGAGAGGGGGAGAUAAGGGGCAGCGAGAGGAAGAUAGGGAAGAGGAGGAGGAGGAGGAGGAGAUGGUCGACGAUCUGACGUACGAGAGCCUGUCGAUGGAACGGAUUCACGCGGGGGGUUAUGUUUGGGACGCGCAGAACGAGGCCUAUCGCAAGGCGACCACCAUCGACGCAACCACUACCACUACAACCGCAACCACGAACACUACUGCGAUCACCGAGGAUAGAGAUCAUUUUUUAGAGGAAGGCAACCUUCCCUCGGUUCGCUCGAUCUCCGCGUCCGCGGCGUUCGAGCUCGAUCGGGAGAAGCUGCGACAGUGGGACCUGUUGUCGAGCGCCUGCUUACUCCAGGAACAGCAACAGCAACAGCAGCAGCAACAGCAGCAGCAGCAGCGCGGCUCGAUGGCGGACUCGGGGCGAGGGUUGCCAAUCGUGGAACGGCCUGGAGACGUUCUCGACGCGUCGAGGAACAGUGGCGCCAACGCGUUCUCGUUGACCAAUCACGAUCGAGAUGUCGCUCUGAAGGCGCUCGAGUGCAAGGCCAGCACGGCGAUUACGAGCGACAGGCAACAGCUGAACGAGACCAAGGAGGCUUGUAACAGGGCUGCAGCGUCCGGAUCUGGAUCGGUGAUAGGGAGGGAUCCACUUCCGCCGAGAGCUGUCAGCACUUCACAACUGGCUCAAAGAACGCAAACUCAACCCCCGGCUACGGUGUCCACCCUUCCAUUGCCGAGGAGCAAUGCCACGCACAGGCAGCCCCUGCCCCUUCACCAAUCCACCCCUCAAUCGGUCAGACAAUCGGAAAACGACAUGGCCAAUUCGCAGCUAUUACGAGUCGCCAGCAACGGUGACAUUGGAACCGGAUCUACGAUGUUGAACAACACCAACAACGAUGGAAAGGAUAUAAGGUUAACAUCUCCGGGCGGACACGCAACUCAACGAUUGAUGAGUCCGGCCGGGGCAUUAAGGGUCGUUUCCAUGAAUGACCACCGAGUCUCCAGCCCUAGUGACAGCGACAUACGAGUUCACAGUCCAAUUGAAAGAAAAAUGGUGAGCCCAAUCGGCAGAGAAGUGGACCGUGGUGGAGGCACGGCUAUCAGACAGAAUCAACGCGUAUGGGAGUACAAUGAGUUGCUGCACAAAAGGAGCAACCAGCGAGCAGAGGGUGGGUGCAAGUUGGCGCACCAGCAAGGAGCCCACGGACUGGUUCGCGUUUCCGCCGGUGAACUCCUCGGCAGGACCCACGAGGAGUUGGUGCUCCUGCUGAUCCAGCUACGCCGGCAGAACGCCACCAUCUACAAAGCGAUGGAGACCUGCCAGAUGGAGAUCGAGGCACAGGCUAGAUUGGCAGAACUCGAUACACCGCGACGAUUGGAGAACCUUCAGAAGCUCGACGAACUGAAGAAACACCUGAUGGAUCUCGAGAAGCAGUACGAGAAGGGCAAACCGCUGGUGAAUUUGGUCGACAAUAUGGUGAAGUUGGGCUCCCUGUACAAUCGCAACACUGCCAAUGGGACCAACAGUGUAUCCGGUUCACGACACGAUCUGGCACACGACAAUUCGAGGGAUCAUCGGUUGGAAUUCAAUCAGAAGGUGCAGGAGCAACGUUUGCUUGCCGAGGAGCGAAGGGACUGGGACCGAUUGAGCCCCGACCAUGGACAAUUACAGGCCAAGGUGCAGCAGCUCUACAAACUGGAUCGGUUGCUCCAGGAGGAAUCCGGAACACUUCACAGUCUUCAGCAAGACAAGGAGAUCCUGGAAAAAGCUCUAGGCGGCCUCCGGCACAAACUGCAAGGAAGCAGGAGCAAUUUGGCCGAGGCCGAGAGAUACAGGAAGCAACAGCUUCUGCUGGAAAAAGAGCUGAGCAGAGUGAGGGUGUUGUUGGCGCACAACUCGAAGGUAAAGCCGGUAUUCUUCCAGAAACUCGAAGAGACGGUGGCCGAGAACGCGAGAUUGGAACAAGACCUGGUUGUGCUUCGGCAGAAGCUUCAAGCGUCGAGAAGAUACGCGGGGAACGUGACCAGGGACACUUCGGCAACCACUGGCCCCCUCGAAGCGGAAUUGAGACGGGUUCAACAAUUGGUCGGUGAUUUGCAGAGACAACGAAAGGAAUUGAGUAUUCAAGUUAGACAGCUCACGGAGAAGUCUCAUAACUUGGUGCAGCAGAUCCGACCGCAACCUACUUCUGCUCCUCAAGUGCACCAGCCGAAGAAGCGGACGCAAAACUCUUGGUUGGAGACCGAUCUCGAUUCCGGAAUAACUUUGGAUCACGGUUUGGAUUCACCAUCGAGUCCCGCAUUAUCCUCCUCGCCCCGUGGCAAGCAGAACGGCGGACCGUAUCCGCAUUUCAGUUCACCGACGCAGAUCAAAGACUCGUCACCCACGAGUCGUCAGCAGCAAGCCAACCUGCAAUCGUACCCUCAAUCGCCCCAGAAUCAUAUUUCUUCGCUCUCUCCUCAGUUACGUGAACAGAUCCAUCAGCAUCAGCUGAAGCAACAGCUUCUCAAGGAUCAGAUGCAAGGGAAAGGAAGUCUUAUACAAGCGAAUGUCGCUCCUUUGUAUAUAAACACAGAUUCUAGAAUUCAAGAGAACAACAAGCAAGAUGGGAAUCUGACAAAUGGCGUAAUUCUUCCACCAGAGUACAUUCCACCUCCACCACCGCCACCCCUGAACGAAGAAGCGUUGCUGAACGAUAAUUACAGACAGAACGAGGACAACAAGUUUACCGGCUUGAUCCACAACCGUGAGAAACAAGAGAUUAAGACCGUGCGAAUAGUGAAGCGGGAAUCGGAAAGACGGCAAAGAGAUAGAGGAGACAGAACUGGAAACAUUGGAAUUCCAUUAACGAACGGGCUUCAGGCGCCCGGGGGUGCUAAGAGAUUGUGCGACGAUGAUUUAGGAGGUUCUCAGAAGUUCGAGAAGGCUCAAUUAGGAAAGGUGGUAGAAGAGUCGCCGAUGAUUCACGCUCAAAGCACAGUCCAGUUGACGGACUUGGACGACGUGCAGUUCCAAAGAAGCAUGUCCUUGCCGAGAGGUUUCGGCGGGCAACGGCUGCAACAGCCGGAGAUCCAUCAAGUUCCGGUUGUGCCUCCUCCUAGAAGCGAUAGCAUGCACGCCUUGAGAACCAUGCUGGCGAGACGUAAUAAGGUCAGGUUCGAAACGCAACAUGAAGGAAGCUCGGACAGUACUUUGUCGCCGUACACGGAGAGCCUCGCCUCGAGCACGCAUCUUCCUAUCAGCUCGCCAAAUUACUCGACCAGUCCGUCCUACAGUCCUAGUAGCCACCAGCAAAAUUACACGAUCAAAUCGAGCCAUCAUCACCAUCCGUAUUAUACAUCGUACAGGCAGUAUAGUGAGAAUCAAGGCAAUGUUCAGGAACCGAUAAGCCCGGAAUUGUUGACAUCGAGCAACCUCGAAGGUCAGGAGAAAGCUUACGGCUCGUCGUUGAAUGUAAACACGUCGAGCUCCUCGCCUCAAUUGUCGCCCGUGUUCAAGAGCGAGGCAGCAAGACAGAUCAUCAAGGAAAUGACAGAGAAAAAAGUCGAGGGACCGAGACGCAGGCAGAUCCCUCGCGAGAAAAGGCGACACUAUACCGUGUCCAGUAGCAAACCUAUCCUCGACCUAGAGGAUACGUUCUCAAAGAUGGGAAUGGGAAGAGCUAGAGACGAUCUGGACAUGGAACGAGCGCUCAGGCCGAGGAUCAAUGCUCCGGAUGUUGUCAGAUCGACUUUGAGCCACAAAGAGUUGAAGUAUAACGAGAGCACUAUCGAUCAACUUUUGGGAACGCCGAAUAAGAUCGUGAUUCCCGAAAGAUACAUACCUGAACAGACACCGGAGUUAACCGCGGAAGAGCAGGAGCAACGAUUGAAGAAAGCGGAAGCAAUAAGGAAGAUGUUGUCUGAAACAACCGUGACCGCGCCAGACGGAAGUGAUGACAAUAUUAAUAUCGAGCAAUCUGAUAGUUUGAAGAGAAAAGUAGUAGAAGAAAAACGACAAAGGGAACAUAUUCUACAAUUGAAUCAAAUUUUAGCUAAGCAAGUUAUGGAAAAGAGCAAGAUGGUGGCGGGUAACCAGGCACACUGACUGACAUGCUUUCUCCAUCUUCCCAUAUAGGACACGCACAUCAUAUUAUCGUUUCUCAGUGAAAGCACUGGCUACCCUUCCUUUGAAGACCGAAUCGAGCUUAGAAGACGAAGAUCUCUCGCCUGUAACACCAUUACCACUAUAUCAGCAGAGAGAGAACUAUUACUCAUAAGAAAAAUGAUAGACAAGUUAAAAUCUCUCGUACAGCUGAUAAAUCUUUUUAGCACAAAGUGAAAACGCUACUGCCAGCCCGGAACAACAGAGAAAUAAACAUCUUUCUUCUUCAAACAUUUUUUGAAAUUUCAUAAAAAGGUGGUUUACCUGACACUUGCUAUUAUGAUUAUAUUAACGAUUUAAGAAAAAGAAAAAAAGAUGUUUUUUUUUUUUAUUUGCAUCGAUAUUGUACAUAAUCAUCGAUUUAAUAAACUGAUAAUAAAUAGUUGUCGUCUGAAUUAUCGAUAAGAAUUAGUAAUGUAAUGGAUGUCGAACAAAAUUAGAUGAAUAAUAUUUACGGAAGAAAAUAGUAAAUAUCCAAAUGAAAUUAUUUCAAAAAUAAAGAAACUUUUAAUUUUUUUUUUUUUUACUGCGUUCUCUUUCCUAAUCAAAUUCAAUUUCUUUUUUGUAACAUAUAUAGUUCAAUCGACUAAUAAUACCUUAUAUUUACUAUUUUCUACUUGAAAUGUUAUGAUCAUUUAAUUAUGACGUCGAGACAGGAUGGUUUCAAGUUUCGACUCGUAUGAAACUUUAAUCGUGUCAUUCAUUGGAUUACUGAAUCUAUGUUAAGAACACUUUUAACAAGAAAUUUCGAUGAAUAUUCUACUCUUAUACGGUCUUAUACAGUUUUUAAACGAUAAGCACAUAUAAAACUCCAUCAUUAUAAAAUUAAAGACUUAUUAUGAGGCCUAUAUUUCGUAAUGUAAAUGUUGCUCGAACAUAAAAUAUUCUAGUGGUAUAAUAUUCUGAGACCAUUUAUGCUUGACGCCAUACUGCCUCGAUGUUUUCUCUUCUAUUCGAAGAGAAUGCUUCCACAAGUUUCUAUCACUAGCAAUAACAAUAAUAAUAUAAUAAUAAUAAUAAUAAUAAUAAUAAUAAUAACAAUAACAAUAACAACAACAAUAAUAAUAAUAAUAACAACAAUAAUAAUCAUAAUAUUAAUAAUAAAUUAAGAAACAGCGAUCGCACAAUGCGGUUCAUCUAGAAAAUGACUGUAAUCGAAUUCUUGUAACUUGUAUGAAUGCUAUUAUUUAGGAAAGGAAUCAAGUAUAAUAAUAAAAUAAAUAUUUAGGAACAUGGUUAAUCACUGAGUUCGGCUAAUAUUAGAUAAUUUGAAUGCUAUUCCAAUUUCUUGCUAGUAUAAUUUGUUAAAAAAAUAUUAUUUAGAUUCUAACAUUAAUUCUUAUGUAAUUUCAAUUUCUAUUUAAACAAAUCUAUUCUUUUUAUAAUUCUUUCAUUAAUAAAAGAUUCGUUUAUAAACUAUUAGCCGAAUUCAGUUUUUGUUUGUUACACGAAACCAUGCUUUGCAAACUCGUCUUUCAAUCUUAAAUUUACAUUUACAUUUAUAUUUACUAACGUUAAUAGCAAAUAAUUUAUUGUAUGUAUGUAUAUAUAUAUGUAUAUAUUGCAACGAGUUUGGGAAUCAUCGGUUCAAAUUGGUUUAUGUAAGAGGAACGAAUAUGUAUAUUAGAAAUAAGAUAGAAUAUAAGGUUGCGUUUAUGCUAGGUGCUAUGAGUAACGCAACAUAGUCAAAUAAUGAAUAAACAUAACCUCUAAAUAACGAUCAUAUUGAACUGACUGAGACGAGUCAUUUUUAGGUAUAAAACACCGAUCGAGGAUAUAUAAAAUUUGGAAAUAAAUUCUUCGAACAUCUGUGUAUACUCAGUGCUUUGUUUUUAAGUAUAUAAAGUGUAAUGAUUGAAUCAUCAAUGAAAUAUUUAAAAUUACAUGUCAACUAUCUUAUCAUAUAAGAAUUUAUAUUGCUCGUGUGGAUAAAUUGAAUAACACUUGUUCCUAUCAAGAAUAAUUUAACAAGUGAAAAACCAAUUAUACAAAAUAUUUCUUAAUAUUAAAAGGAUUAGAGUAUUCACUGAACUUUUUUUUAAUAAAAUCUCUUACUUAACAGAAUAACGAUAAAAUGUUUAUUGAUAAAAAUAUGUAUUAUCAUUGAAAGUCUGCUAAUUAUUAUUAUUAUAAAGGAUAAUUAUACAUCGUAUGACCAUUGAUAAAAAGUGAACGUAAAAUUUAAUAUGGUAUUGUCCAUAUAUUCUGCAUUUGAUCGGUGUUUCCAUCCAUAAAUUGCUCCAAUUUCAACACGGUCAAAUGCAUAUGAUUUAUAUGACUCGCUAAUUAUUCGAGUACUCUAUUCGACACUUUUAUUACAAACUUUCUCGUACAGAUAAGUGCAUUUGACUCGAUGUUGAAUCACUCGUAAUUUAAGAAACACAUAACACAUAUGUACGCUUUAGAAACGUCCUAUAAACAGCGCGUUCUACGUCGAUUUUCGCUACUUUCAACUUUUCGAAGUAGCGUGUAUUUAUGUUUUUCUAAGGUCGUUUCUCGUAUUAUUUAACGAAGGGAGAAAAAUAAGCUUUGAAAGUGCGACUAGAUAAGUUAUGUAUAGAAACUUAGAUGCGUGCAACAAUCGUUCGAUGUCGAAUCCAUUUAAUGGAAAUCGAUUGUCGGCGUGUCCUUCGAUAUAAUCGAAACUUAAUUCUUUGAAGCGAUAAUUGAAUUAAUUCCAAUUAUUAUUUUUCUUAUUAUCAUUAAGAUUAAACACUUAGUUCAAGUUUUUCAAUUUUUUUUCUGUAAAUUGAAUUUAUCAAUUUUUAUUUCUAUCCAUGUCACAGUAAAACAAACUAGAAAGAAAUAUCCCAGAUAACAACGCUUCAAAGAAUUAAGAUACAGCAUUUAGACGCGAAGCGUCGCAAAGAUGGACGAAUGUUUAUAGCUAUCUUGCACUGUUGUAGCCUGUUAAAAAAAUUGUAGAACGUUCGAGCGAAAUUGAAGAGUGCCAAAUUACGCAAAAGCAGAUCGAUCGCGAAACACGGCGACUGCUCGUCAAUUAAAAGAAAGAGAGAGAAAAAAGGAUGAAACCAGCAAGACUAACGCUCAGCACAAAAAAAGUAAGGUUAAACGUAAGGAUCUCCCCUCUCGACGACUGUCAAACCCCGAGAAAAAGGUAUCUCGUUAAUCAUGCUAAUUAAGAGAUGCGAUUUCUAUUAUAUAUGAGAACUAUAUGGUCCACAGGCAUCAAUGUUAGGAAUAAUUUUUUACGAUACGAUGAUCCGUGUAUACGAUAUAGAAUGACGCACGGUGAAAUCCAACGAUCAAAAAAACACGAUCGUAUCACGAUCACUCCUCUCGAGAUCGAGAAGAAGAAAGUUUAAACUCGCGAGGAAUGGCCGUUUAGCGCAAUCGUUACCAUCGUGCCCUUUUUAAGAAUUUUCCCUUAUUGAUGGACAUACUACUAUCGCGAGUCAUUAAAAUAAACAUCGAGGGUUCGAGAAAAAGAAAAGGAACGACGAUGCGUAUGUUCAUCGUGAAAAACUAUUCGCUCGACAUUCCCAUUGGCCCUAUGGUACCUGAGAAACCAGCGUAGGAUUGCUUUCUGCGGUUGCCACUGCGCCAUUAGGGUAGUUUGAGCGAAAUAACUAUUGUAAAAGGAAACUACUGUGGAAACAGGAACUGUUAUUGUUACACGAAUAAAGUAAAAUCCAUAUUACAUGA
RNAcentral lists this unclassified non-coding RNA (8133 nucleotides) under Apis dorsata (giant honeybee). RNAcentral describes it as "uncharacterized LOC102677612, transcript variant X4". Lineage: Eukaryota; Metazoa; Arthropoda; Insecta; Hymenoptera; Apidae. The record is from RNAcentral.